UUACGGAAGGCAGCAGUGGGGAAUUUUGCGCAAUGGGGGAAACCCUGACGCAGCAACGCCGCGUGGAGGAUGAAGGUCUUUGGAUUGUAAACUCCUUUCGAUCGGGACGAUUAUGACGGUACCGGAAGAAGAAGCACCGGCUAACUCUGUGCCAGCAGCCGCGGUAAUACAGAGGGUGCAAGCGUUGUUCGGAAUUAUUGGGCGUAAAGGGCGCGUAGGCGGUUCGGCAAGUCUUCAGUGAAAUCUCUCGGCUCAACUGAGAGUCUGCUGGGGAAACUGCCGGGCUUGAGUGUGGGAGAGGAGAGUGGAAUUCCUGGUGUAGCGGUGAAAUGCGUAGAUAUCAGGAGGAACACCUGAGGCGAAAGCGGCUCUCUGGACCACAACUGACGCUGAGGCGCGAAAGCUAGGGGAGCAAACAGGAUUAGAUACCCUGGUAGC
This 438-nucleotide ribosomal RNA is filed under the name uncultured bacterium. RNAcentral's name for it is "bacterial SSU rRNA". It matches the Rfam family "Bacterial small subunit ribosomal RNA", at positions 339 to 794 of the family's 1533-position model. The record is from RNAcentral.